RNAcentral lists this long non-coding RNA (216 nucleotides) under Elaeis guineensis (African oil palm). Its description in RNAcentral is "long non-coding RNA (EGUI_LNC040785)". Lineage: Eukaryota; Viridiplantae; Streptophyta; Magnoliopsida; Arecales; Arecaceae. The record is from RNAcentral.
CUCUCCCUCUUUCUUUCUUUCUUUCUUUUUUGUAAUUUAUUAUUUUGAUAUAUUCGGCUAUUCCCACGUAAUUGAGUUGAAAAUUCUAUAAGAUUUAUGGAUUGGCCGUUUAUUUAAGUAUUGCCUUAUAUCAACCAAACUCUCCCUAACUUAGAUGUAGGAACUAAAAAGAUCUAUGAGAAAUUCUUUAUUUACCACAGAUGGUGUAGAAAAUCU